This 301-nucleotide ribosomal RNA is filed under the name uncultured bacterium. RNAcentral's name for it is "partial 16S ribosomal RNA". It matches the Rfam family "Bacterial small subunit ribosomal RNA", at positions 509 to 807 of the family's 1533-position model. The record is from RNAcentral.
CAGCCGCCGCGGUAACACGAAGGGUGCAAGCGUUACUCGGAAUUACUGGGCGUAAAGCGUGCGUAGGUGGUGGUUUAAGUCCGUUGUGAAAGCCCUGGGCUCAACCUGGGAAUUGCAGUGGAUACUGGGUCACUAGAGUGUGGUAGAGGAUAGUGGAAUUUCCGGUGUAGCAGUGAAAUGCGUAGAGAUCGGAAGGAACAUCUGUGGCGAAGGCGACUAUCUGGGCCAACACUGACACUGAGGCACGAAAGCGUGGGGAGCAAACAGGAUUAGAUACCCCUGUAGUCCCUGUCUCUUAUAC